UGCGUAGGUGGGCAGGUAAGUCAGUGGUGAAAUCUCCGGGCUUAACCCGGAAACUGCCAUUGAUACUAUCUGUCUUGAAUACCCUGGAGGUGAGCGGAAUAUGUCAUGUAGCGGUGAAAUGCUUAGAUAUGACAUAGAACACCAAUUGCGAAGGCAGCUCACUACGGGAAUAUUGACACUGAGGCACGAAAGCGUGGGGAUCAAACAGGAUUAGAUACCCUGGUAGUCCACGCCCUAAACGAUGGAUACUCGACAUUUGCGAUACACAGCAAGUGUCUGAGCUAAAGCAUUAAGUAUCCCACCUGGGAAGUACGAUCGCAAGAUUGAA
This 328-nucleotide ribosomal RNA is filed under the name uncultured Ferruginibacter sp. Its description in RNAcentral is "bacterial SSU rRNA". It matches the Rfam family "Bacterial small subunit ribosomal RNA", at positions 568 to 898 of the family's 1533-position model. Lineage: Bacteria; Pseudomonadati; Bacteroidota; Chitinophagia; Chitinophagales; Chitinophagaceae. The record is from RNAcentral.